AACGAACGCUGGCGGCAUGCCUAACACAUGCAAGUCGAACGAGACCUUCGGGUCUAGUGGCGCACGGGUGCGUAACGCGUGGGAAUCUGCCCUUCGGUUCGGAAUAACUCAGGGAAACUUGAGCUAAUACCGGAUAAUGACGUAAGUCCAAAGAUUUAUCGCCGAAGGAUGAGCCCGCGUAGGAUUAGCUUGUUGGUGGGGUAAUGGCCCACCAAGGCGACGAUCCUUAGCUGGUCUGAGAGGAUGAUCAGCCACACUGGGACUGAGACACGGUCCAGACUCCUACGGGAGGCAGCAGUGGGGAAUAUUGGACAAUGGGCGAAAGCCUGAUCCAGCAAUGCCGCGUGAGUGAUGAAGGCCUUAGGGUUGUAAAGCUCUUUUACCCGGGAUGAUAAUGACAGUACCGGGAGAAUAAGCUCCGGCUAACUCCGUG
Molecule: ribosomal RNA, 433 nt
Filed under: uncultured bacterium
Lineage: Bacteria
Description: bacterial SSU rRNA
Rfam family: Bacterial small subunit ribosomal RNA
Source: RNAcentral